This 253-nucleotide ribosomal RNA is filed under the name uncultured bacterium. RNAcentral describes it as "partial 16S ribosomal RNA". It matches the Rfam family "Bacterial small subunit ribosomal RNA", at positions 524 to 776 of the family's 1533-position model. The record is from RNAcentral.
UACAGAGGUCCCAAGCGUUGGUCGGAUUCACUGGGCGUAAAGGGUGCGUAGGCGGGCGGGUAAGUCUGGCGGGAAAUCUCCAAGCCUAACUUGGAAACUGCGUUGGAUACUAUCCGGCUCGAGGAAUGGAGGGGAGACUGGAAUACUUGGUGUAGCAGUGAAAUGCGUAGAUAUCAAGUGGAACACCAGUGGCGAAGGCGAGUCUCUGGACAUUUCCUGACGCUGAGGCACGAAAGCCAGGGGAGCAAACGGG